This 160-nucleotide non-coding RNA is filed under the name uncultured Bulleidia sp. Lineage: Bacteria; Bacillati; Bacillota; Erysipelotrichia; Erysipelotrichales; Erysipelotrichaceae. The record is from RNAcentral.
GCGAUCCAUAGGCGGGAAAAAGCAGCAGCGAAGUUGUGACCUGACGGACAGAAACGCGAUAUCAAAGCAGCUUGGAUGGCCAAGCUGGCGAAAAGCAGUAAAGUCCAAGUAGGAAAACUUAAACCCGAAUUGUAAAUCGUGCAGGCAAACAAUGAAAGAG